Molecule: ribosomal RNA, 478 nt
Filed under: uncultured bacterium
Lineage: Bacteria
Description: partial 16S ribosomal RNA
Rfam family: Bacterial small subunit ribosomal RNA
Source: RNAcentral
GACGAACGCUGGCGGCGUGCUUAGCACAUGCAAGUCGAACGGUAAGGCCCUUCGGGGUACACGAGUGGCGAACGGGUGAGUAACACGUGGGUGAUCUGCGCUGCACUUCGGGAUAAGCCUGGGAAACUGGGUCUAAUACCGGAUAGGCCUCCGGACUGCAUGGUCUGGGUUGGAAAGCUGUUGCGGUGUGGGAUGGGCCCGCGGCCUAUCAGCUUGUUGGUGGGGUGAUGGCCUACCAAGGCGAAGACGGGUAGCCGGCCUGAGAGGGUGACCGGCCACACUGGGACUGAGAUACGGCACAGACUCCUACGGGAGGCAGCAGUGGGGAAUAUUGCACAAUGGGCGCAAGCCUGAUGCAGCGACGCCGCGUGAGGGAUGACGGCCUUCGGGUUGUAAACCUCUUUCAGCACAGACGAAGCGCAAGUGACGGUAUGUGCAGAAGAAGGACCGGCCAACUACGUGCCAGCCGCCGCGGUAA